UUUCCUUCGGGGCAGAGGAGACAGGUGGUGCAUGGUUGUCGUCAGCUCGUGUCGUGAGAUGUUGGGUUAAGUCCCGCAACGAGCGCAACCCUUGAUCUUAGUUGCCAGCACGUGGAGUGGGCACUCUAAGAUGACUGCCGGUGACAAACCGGAGGAAGGUGGGGAUGACGUCAAAUCAUCAUGCCCCUUAUGACCUGGGCUACACACGUACUACAAUGGUCGGUACAACGGGAAGCGAAGCCGCGAGGUGGAGCCAAUCCUUAUAAGCCGAUCUCAGUUCGGAUUGCAGGCUGCAACUCGCCUGCAUGAAGUCGGAAUUGCUAGUAAUCGCGGAUCAGCAU
This 341-nucleotide ribosomal RNA is filed under the name Paenibacillus alginolyticus. RNAcentral describes it as "bacterial SSU rRNA". It matches the Rfam family "Bacterial small subunit ribosomal RNA", at positions 1014 to 1355 of the family's 1533-position model. Lineage: Bacteria; Bacillati; Bacillota; Bacilli; Caryophanales; Paenibacillaceae. The record is from RNAcentral.